GUAGUUAGCCGGAGCUUCCUCCUUAGGUACCGUCACUUUCUUCGUUCCUAAGGACAGAGGUUUACAACCCGAAGGCCUUCUUCCCUCACGCGGCGUUGCUGGGUCAGGGUUUCCCCCAUUGCCCAAUAUUCCCCACUGCUGCCUCCCGUAGGAGUCUGGACCGUGUCUCAGUUCCAGUGUGGCCGAUCACCCUCUCAGGUCGGCUACCCAUCGUCGCCUUGGUGAGCCGUUACCUCACCAACUAGCUAAUGGGACGCGAGCCCAUCUACAAGCGAUAAAUCUUUGACCCCUCUAUCAUGCGAUAGCGUGGUCUUAUGCGGUAUUAGCAGUCGUUUCCAACUGUUGUCCCCCUCUUGUAGGCAGGUUGCUCACGCGUUACUCACCCGUCCGCCGCUAGAACACUUUCUGUAUUGCUACUUCCAGUGUCCCCGCUCGACUUGCAUGUGUUAGGCACGCCGCCAGCGUUCGUCCUGAGCCAGGAUCAAACUCUGA
Molecule: ribosomal RNA, 492 nt
Filed under: uncultured bacterium
Lineage: Bacteria
Description: partial 16S ribosomal RNA
Source: RNAcentral